Molecule: ribosomal RNA, 273 nt
Filed under: uncultured prokaryote
Description: partial 16S ribosomal RNA
Rfam family: Bacterial small subunit ribosomal RNA
Source: RNAcentral
UACGGGGGGUGCGAGCGUUGUUCGGAAUUAUUGGGCGUAAAGAGCGUGUAGGCGGCUGGAUCAGUCAGAUGUGAAAUCCCUGGGCUUAACCCAGGACGUGCAUUUGAAACUGUCCGGCUGGAGUAGGGGAGAGGAAAGUGGAAUUCCUGGUGUAGAGGUGAAAUUCGUAGAUAUCAGGAGGAACACCGGUGGCGAAGGCGACUUUCUGGCCCUAUACUGACGCUGAGACGCGAGAGCGUGGGUAGCAAACAGGAUUAGAAACCCUAGUAGUCC